This 271-nucleotide signal recognition particle RNA is filed under the name Candidatus Woesearchaeota archaeon. Its description in RNAcentral is "signal recognition particle sRNA". It matches the Rfam family "Archaeal signal recognition particle RNA". The record is from RNAcentral. Lineage: Archaea; Nanobdellati; Candidatus Woesearchaeota.
UUGCGGGCUAGACCGGGAGGGUAGCAGUCUCCUGCCUCGUCAAUCUGCUUUAGAUGAGGUCGAAGCUUGGAGGGCGGUUUUGUUUGUAAAAGCCGGUCUUGAGUCGGACGUUGAGGUCCUGUCCUGUUGGAUGCUUAUGCCAGGAAUGGGUCAGGCGGGGAACCGAGCAGCCAUAACUUUUAUGGGUCAUGCUUUCAGGGUCGCGGGACUGAGGAAGAUUCAAGAGUCACUGGAUUUUGCGUUCAAAAUCCACCUUCUUGCGUGCCCGCAC